GAUGAACGCUGGCGGCGUGCCUAAUACAUGCAAGUCGAGCGAACGGACGAGAAGCUUGCUUCUCUGAUGUUAGCGGCGGACGGGUGAGUAACACGUGGAUAACCUACCUAUAAGACUGGGAUAACUUCGGGAAACCGGAGCUAAUACCGGAUAAUAUUUUGAACCGCAUGGUUCAAAAGUGAAAGACGGUCUUGCUGUCACUUAUAGAUGGAUCCGCGCUGCAUUAGCUAGUUGGUAAGGUAACGGCUUACCAAGGCAACGAUGCAUAGCCGACCUGAGAGGGUGAUCGGCCACACUGGAACUGAGACACGGUCCAGACUCCUACGGGAGGCAGCAGUAGGGAAUCUUCCGCAAUGGGCGAAAGCCCGACGGAGCAACGCCGCGUGAGUGAUGAAGGUCUUCGGAUCGUAAAACUCUGUUAUUAGGGAAGAACAUAUGUGUAAGUAACUGUGCACAUCUUGACGGUACCUAAUCAGAAAGCCACGGCUAUCUACGUG
RNAcentral lists this ribosomal RNA (497 nucleotides) under uncultured bacterium. RNAcentral describes it as "partial 16S ribosomal RNA". It matches the Rfam family "Bacterial small subunit ribosomal RNA", at positions 28 to 507 of the family's 1533-position model. The record is from RNAcentral.